UACGAAGGGGGCUAGCGUUGCUCGGAAUCACUGGGCGUAAAGGGUGCGUAGGCGGGUCUUUAAGUCAGGGGUGAAAUCCUGGAGCUCAACUCCAGAACUGCCUUUGAUACUGGGUAUCUUGAGUAUGGAAGAGGUGAGUGGAAUUCCGAGUGUAGAGGUGAAAUUCGUAGAUAUUCGGAGGAACACCAGUGGCGAAGGCGGCUCACUGGUCCAUUACUGACGCUGAGGUGCGAAAGCGUGGGGAGCAAACAGG
This 253-nucleotide ribosomal RNA is filed under the name uncultured bacterium. RNAcentral's name for it is "partial 16S ribosomal RNA". It matches the Rfam family "Bacterial small subunit ribosomal RNA", at positions 524 to 776 of the family's 1533-position model. The record is from RNAcentral.